Molecule: unclassified non-coding RNA, 693 nt
Filed under: Dolichospermum planctonicum CHAB1
Lineage: Bacteria; Bacillati; Cyanobacteriota; Cyanophyceae; Nostocales; Aphanizomenonaceae
Also listed under: 1 other name
Description: partial 16S-23S ribosomal RNA intergenic spacer
Rfam family: Bacterial small subunit ribosomal RNA (bases 1-153)
Source: RNAcentral
UUGUACACACCGCCCGUCACACCAUGGAAGUUGGUCACGCCCGAAGUCGUUACCCCAACCGAAAGGAGGGGGAUGCCUAAGGUAGGACUGAUGACUGGGGUGAAGUCGUAACAAGGUAGCCGUACCGGAAGGUGUGGCUGGAUCACCUCCUUUUAGGGAGACCUAAUCCAUUUAGAAAUCGAAAGCAGUGAAAAUUGUGGGUAGAAACUAAAUUGGUCUAACCUAGGUCGGUCGCAGACUUGAAGUAAAGCUUUCAAACUAUGAUUUGGUUCGAUAAGGGCUAUUAGCUCAGGUGGUUAGAGCGCACCCCUGAUAAGGGUGAGGUCCCUGGUUCGAGUCCAGGAUGGCCCACCUGAAGGAAGUCAAAAAUCAAAAGUCAAAAGUCAAAAUUAAAUAUUUUUGAAGCAUGACUAGAAAUUUUGAGUUCUUUUUGGGGGUUUAGCUCAGUUGGUAGAGCGCCUGCUUUGCAAGCAGGAUGUCAGCGGUUCGAGUCCGCUAACCUCCACAUUGGAAAAAAAACAGCACCUAACUAUAAAAGUUAGACUGCUGGGUGAAAUUCCAGCCAGAACCUUGAAAACUGCAUAAGAGAACGAGAAAAAGCAGGCAGACACAGACAUUUAGAUGGAUGUGAAAGCAAAGAAAAAUUGUGGUCAAGCUAAUAAGGGCUAAUGGUGGAUACCUAGGCACACAGAG